Molecule: ribosomal RNA, 140 nt
Filed under: uncultured eukaryote
Lineage: Eukaryota
Description: partial 18S ribosomal RNA
Rfam family: Eukaryotic small subunit ribosomal RNA
Source: RNAcentral
UGGUGGAGUGGUUUGUCUGGUUAAUUCCGAUAACGAACGAGACCUUAACCUGCUAAAUAGUUACAAGAAUCUUGUGAUUCUUGGCUAACUUCUUAGAGGGACUAUUGAUGUUUAAUCAAUGGAAGUUUGAGGCAAUAACA